GAAUAUUGCACAAUGGGGGCAACCCUGAUGCAGCCAUGCCGCGUGUGUGAAGAAGGCCUUCGGGUUGUAAAGCACUUUCGGUGGGGAGGAAAGGUUGGUGGUUAAUACCCAUCAGCUGUGACGUUACCCACAGAAGAAGGACCGGCUAACUCCGUGCCAGCAGCCGCGGUAAUACGGAGGGUCCGAGCGUUAAUCGGAAUUACUGGGCGUAAAGCGCACGCAGGCGGUUUGUUAAGCUAGAUGUGAAAGCCCCGGGCUCAACCUGGGAAUCGCAUUUAGAACUGGCAGGCUAGAGUUUUGGAGAGGGGAGUGGAAUUCCAGGUGUAGCGGUGAAAUGCGUAGAUAUCUGGAGGAACAUCAGUGGCGAAGGCGACUCCCUGGUCAAUAACUGACGCUCAUGUGCGAAAGUGUGGGUAGCGAACAGG
RNAcentral lists this ribosomal RNA (425 nucleotides) under uncultured bacterium. Its description in RNAcentral is "bacterial SSU rRNA". It matches the Rfam family "Bacterial small subunit ribosomal RNA", at positions 359 to 776 of the family's 1533-position model. The record is from RNAcentral.